This 258-nucleotide long non-coding RNA is filed under the name Salmo salar (Atlantic salmon). Its description in RNAcentral is "lncRNA (ENSSSAG00000082570.1)". Lineage: Eukaryota; Metazoa; Chordata; Actinopteri; Salmoniformes; Salmonidae. The record is from RNAcentral.
CACAUAUCCUUCACAUAGAGUUAACCAGCCUGUUGAUUGUGGCGAAGUUGCUGGGAACUGGAACACACUGUCGUACACGAUGAUCGAGAGUAUCACAAACAUGCUCAAUGGGUGACAUUUCUGCUUAUGCCUGCCCAUACCAUAACCCCACCGGCACCAUGGGCCACUCUGUUCACAGCGUUGACAUCAGCAAACCGCUCGCUCACAUGAUGCCAUACACGUGGUCUGUGGUUUUGAGGCCGGUUGGACACACUGCCA